CAAAAAGAAAGAAAUUAUUCAAAUUAAAGAUUUGAGUAAUUUGGGAUCUGAAUUGUGUAGUCUAAAAAAGCUGUACCUCUGUAUAACUUCUGUUGAACUCUGUUAUUCUGGCAUUUCACUGAAACAUUUUGUAACAUUGGAAAAAAAAUCUGAAUUAAAGCAAACUAAAAACUUCAGUCAUUACAUAAGAAAAGGAAGCAUUAUAUUACCUUAAAUAGCUUUUAACUUUCAUUUUAAAAGAAGUCUUUUUACUAGGACUAGAGAAAUAAGUUUUUUGUGGGGGGUUGCCAAGUUUAGGAAUUCUUUGCCAAAUGCCAGCUUUUCCAAGACUAAAUAGCAUGUUAAUCUACUUAUAAAAUCUUGAUCUUCAUGCUGAAGGGAGUUUAACUUUUGAUCUUCAUGCAUAAGUGACCUCUACAUGAGAUUUUGUCUUAAAUUUGUGGUACAGGGUACAGGUCUAUGUAAAUCCUGAAAUAAACUAGAUUUUUUUCCACUUAUAUUAAAAAAUGACAAGAAAAUAUCAGUUAAGCUUACUGUUGACAAACUUGACCACAACUCUAAAUAAAGAAACUGACCAAAA
Molecule: long non-coding RNA, 580 nt
Filed under: Mytilus galloprovincialis (Mediterranean mussel)
Lineage: Eukaryota; Metazoa; Mollusca; Bivalvia; Mytilida; Mytilidae
Source: RNAcentral